Molecule: long non-coding RNA, 269 nt
Filed under: Olea europaea (common olive)
Lineage: Eukaryota; Viridiplantae; Streptophyta; Magnoliopsida; Lamiales; Oleaceae
Description: long non-coding RNA (OEUR_LNC005095)
Source: RNAcentral
UUUCUUCACCGUCUUUACCUCUUCCAUCCUAAUUUGACCCAAAAAGUACGUCUUUGAUUCACUUUCUGUUUAUAUAUAUACACAAACGAAUAUAUGGUGAUCAUCUCAAAGAUUGGAUAUGGCAGAAAUACCGUACUAUUCGAAUUUGGCUAAUAAUGGCCAUGUAAUCAGCCCCCGGUUCUGUGCUGCUCAUCCAGUUGAUCUUGUAAUCGAGAAAAAGGUUUUUACCUUUAGAAAUACCAGAUAUAUAGUUACAUCAAAUGAUGGCA